This 348-nucleotide ribosomal RNA is filed under the name uncultured bacterium. Its description in RNAcentral is "partial 16S ribosomal RNA". It matches the Rfam family "Bacterial small subunit ribosomal RNA", at positions 338 to 697 of the family's 1533-position model. The record is from RNAcentral.
CCUACGGGCGGCAGCAGUCGAGAAUCAUUCACAAUGGGGGAAACCCUGAUGGUGCGACGCCGCGUGGGGGAAUGAAGGUCUUCGGAUUGUAAACCCCUGUCAUGUGGGAGCAAAUGAAAAAGAUAGUACCACAAGAGGAAGAGACGGAUAACUCUGUGCCAGCAGCCGCGGUAAUACAGAGGUCUAAAGCGUUGUUCGGAACCACGGGGCGUAAAGUGUGCGUAGGCUGUUACGUAAGUCGUGUGUGAAAGGCGCGGCCCCAACACGCGGACGGCACAUGAUACUGCGAGACUAGAGUAAUUGAGGGGGAACUGGAAUUUUCGGUGUAGGAGUGAAAUCCGUAGAUAU